UUCAACAUGUGAUCAUGAUUCAGAAACAGAUGAACAGUUGAGGAGAUGAGGAGACAAGCAGAUGGAUGGCAGAAUGACAUGGCAGAGAAAAAGAAGAUGAAUUCCUGAGUACCAAGAGCUAGGCUGGGGGUGGUCAAAGAGGCAUUUGACUGCUGGACUGAACUUCCAGGGGAAGAUCAUCUUCCUACUCCAUCCCUCCUUCCAGCUCCCCAUCCAUCCUGUGUAGAGCCACCUCCACAUUCAAUAAAAUCCUACAUUCAUCCUUCAGGUCCAUGUGUGACCUGAUUCUUUCAGGAUGUAGGGCAAGAGCUUGGGAUACAGAAAGCUGUCACAUUGUCCCUCUGCCCUUGAGAAAAGGCAGAGGGUCCAUUGAGCUGGUUAACACUCAAGUUGUCCAAGGAUGGCAGGUCUAAAAGGGCACACUGUAAUACACACCUCUCUGGGCUCCUGCACCUGUCCAUCUAUGCUCCUCCUCCUCUCAGAGGUUUGAGUGGUGGCAGCAAUCCAACAGGUGAGCCACACCCAUGUCACAUGUCCUGCAAGGUGGAUCAAUGAACUCUCCCAUUUCACUGUGUUUUCAAAUACUUACAGAACAUUUUUCCUGCCCUAUAGAAACUGGUAGUCUAAGUAGGAAAAUAAGACUUACUUGAUGGAAACGAUUAAAAUGGACUCUUGUAAUUACACACACAUGCUCCAUCUCCCUCGAGCCUGGAUCUCAUCCUCUUUGCUUCUGUUUCAGCCAUGCUGCUGCCAUGCUCCCUACCCACUUGCCAUGUGGAUGGCCAUCUCUGGUAACAAGUGUGUUCUGUCUUGUCGCUUCUAACCCAAGGCAUUCCUUUUGGACAGAAGGUUCAGGGAAUCCCUUCCACUGUCACUGACUGGAGUGUCUUCACUAUUUUUUCUUGAGUCACAAUCUUUGCUGUAUUAUUUUUUCUUUUAUUAUUAUUAUUUUUUAACCAAAGUCUUAAUCCAAUUUUUAAGAUCUAAUUUAAUUAUCUUCCUCCAGGAUCCUCCAUAAAUCUGCAUCACCUCGUGCCCUCAGGAGCACAUCCAGUCCCUAUAUUACAGCUUUUGUUAUUUCUGUCACUCUCAAUGGCUGCAUUUGCUCUUACCCCUUGGGGUUUUUCUCUCAUUUAACUUUGACACAUGUCUUCAUUACCUCCUUGAGAGGAACUCCAGGGGCCUAGAAAGAACUGCUGGAAGUGGCUCAUACAGUUUCUCAGAGGUGGUAGCGAUCGGAUGAUGCAAAUUUUACAGAGGAGAGAGUUGUUAUAUCUGAAGCAACACAGCUGUGAGACACUUUUGCUGCUCACUGAUGAGAAGAAAGCUAGUGCUGGAACAGAUCAGUCUUGAAAGAAGUUGAGUUGACCCUAAAGUCCUAAGGCCCAGCAUUCAAAGGUGGAGAAUAAUUCUACCUGAUGCAAACUGAAGUUUGAAUCCAAAGGCAUCCAUCCAAGAGGACAAAGCUGUAAGAAUUUCCUGAAAGUAGUUGGAUUCCAUGUAUCACACAAAACAUCAGUGACGCAAUAAUGUAUGCAACACACAUCAGGUAACAUGGAACUUUUAGAACAUCAUGAUCAGCCUCCAUUUAAAUAGCUACCCACAAGAAACCUGGUUUUGGAAACCUUGUGGGAAUCAAUCCACAUAAGCAAAGUUGUAUUCUAUUGCUAGAUAAGUUCUCUUCUUAAUAUUUUAAUGAAUAUGUUCGUAAAACUUACGAAUGUUUCAAAUUUUUAAGAGGAGAUACUGAGCAUAAUUGAAAUUUGUAGUUAGCUUU
This is a long non-coding RNA of Sapajus apella (tufted capuchin), 1777 nucleotides long. RefSeq lists it as uncharacterized. The record is from RefSeq and is a predicted model, not a curated record. NCBI's taxonomy places the organism in Eukaryota, Metazoa, Chordata, Mammalia, Primates, Cebidae. The transcript has 3 exons.